RNAcentral lists this long non-coding RNA (232 nucleotides) under Setaria italica (foxtail millet). RNAcentral's name for it is "long non-coding RNA (SITA_LNC004646)". The record is from RNAcentral. Lineage: Eukaryota; Viridiplantae; Streptophyta; Magnoliopsida; Poales; Poaceae.
CUUUUUUCACAAGCAACUUACAUGUUGGCAAGUUGCAGCCAAAAAAUUGAAAAGCUCAUUCUUUGGCAUGCAACAUCAUCGUCUCUCUACCUUGUUCUUUCUCUCCUAUCCCUUUCUCUUACUGAAGCCAACUGCAUGGGGAAUUUGAACAGGUGCACAUGAGAGAGAGAGAAAGAGAGAAUUGUAGGCACGCGGAAAUGUUGGCAACAGAGAUGCGGAGAGCAACGAAUAG